Molecule: ribosomal RNA, 925 nt
Filed under: Bacillus subtilis
Lineage: Bacteria; Bacillati; Bacillota; Bacilli; Caryophanales; Bacillaceae
Description: bacterial SSU rRNA
Rfam family: Bacterial small subunit ribosomal RNA
Source: RNAcentral
GUCGAGCGGACAGAUGGGAGCUUGCUCCCUGAUGUUAGCGGCGGACGGGUGAGUAACACGUGGGUAACCUGCCUGUAAGACUGGGAUAACUCCGGGAAACCGGGGCUAAUACCGGAUGGUUGUUUGAACCGCAUGGUUCAAACAUAAAAGGUGGCUUCGGCUACCACUUACAGAUGGACCCGCGGCGCAUUAGCUAGUUGGUGAGGUAACGGCUCACCAAGGCAACGAUGCGUAGCCGACCUGAGAGGGUGAUCGGCCACACUGGGACUGAGACACGGCCCAGACUCCUACGGGAGGCAGCAGUAGGGAAUCUUCCGCAAUGGACGAAAGUCUGACGGAGCAACGCCGCGUGAGUGAUGAAGGUUUUCGGAUCGUAAAGCUCUGUUGUUAGGGAAGAACAAGUACCGUUCGAAUAGGGCGGUACCUUGACGGUACCUAACCAGAAAGCCACGGCUAACUACGUGCCAGCAGCCGCGGUAAUACGUAGGUGGCAAGCGUUGUCCGGAAUUAUUGGGCGUAAAGGGCUCGCAGGCGGUUUCUUAAGUCUGAUGUGAAAGCCCCCGGCUCAACCGGGGAGGGUCAUUGGAAACUGGGGAACUUGAGUGCAGAAGAGGAGAGUGGAAUUCCACGUGUAGCGGUGAAAUGCGUAGAGAUGUGGAGGAACACCAGUGGCGAAGGCGACUCUCUGGUCUGUAACUGACGCUGAGGAGCGAAAGCGUGGGGAGCGAACAGGAUUAGAUACCCUGGUAGUCCACGCCGUAAACGAUGAGUGCUAAGUGUUAGGGGGUUUCCGCCCCUUAGUGCUGCAGCUAACGCAUUAAGCACUCCGCCUGGGGAGUACGGUCGCAAGACUGAAACUCAAAGGAAUUGACGGGGCCCGCACAAGCGGUGGAGCAUGGUGGUUUAAUUCGAAGCAACGCGAAGA